RNAcentral lists this ribosomal RNA (253 nucleotides) under uncultured bacterium. RNAcentral describes it as "partial 16S ribosomal RNA". It matches the Rfam family "Bacterial small subunit ribosomal RNA", at positions 524 to 776 of the family's 1533-position model. The record is from RNAcentral.
UACGUAGGUGGCAAGCGUUAUCCGGAUUUAUUGGGCGUAAAGGGAACGCAGGCGGUCUUUUAAGUCUGAUGUGAAAGCCUUCGGCUUAACCGGAGUAGUGCAUUGGAAACUGGGAGACUUGAGUGCAGAAGAGGAGAGUGGAGCUCCAUGUGUAGCGGUGAAAUGCGUAGAUAUAUGGAAGAACACCAGUGGCGAAAGCGGCUCUCUGGUCUGUAACUGACGCUGAGGUUCGAAAGCGUGGGUAGCAAAUAGG